AAGGAAGAGCUAGCGGUGAAGGAAUCUGGGCAAGAUCAGAGGAAAAAGGAUGAAAACAGCGAAGGAAAAGAGAGCAUAGGGAGAUCGAGGGAGAUUCAAAAGAGAGUGAAGGGAUUCUUUGAAAUCCGAGACAUCUCACGUCCAUUUUACUUCGUCAGGGUCCUAAGGUAACUAUUGUUUCUUCCUUUGUGGCUUCAACAAUAUUUUUAUGAGAAUCCAAGCCUGGGGACAUGAAUCUUGGACUGUUUACUGCUGGUUGAACUUUCG
Molecule: long non-coding RNA, 267 nt
Filed under: Coffea arabica (coffee)
Lineage: Eukaryota; Viridiplantae; Streptophyta; Magnoliopsida; Gentianales; Rubiaceae
Description: long non-coding RNA (CARA_LNC004741)
Source: RNAcentral